Molecule: ribosomal RNA, 975 nt
Filed under: Staphylococcus hominis subsp. novobiosepticus
Lineage: Bacteria; Bacillati; Bacillota; Bacilli; Caryophanales; Staphylococcaceae
Description: bacterial SSU rRNA
Rfam family: Bacterial small subunit ribosomal RNA
Source: RNAcentral
GCGGGCGGCGUGCUAUACAUGCAGUCGAGCGAACAGACGAGGAGCUUGCUCCUUUGACGUUAGCGGCGGACGGGUGAGUAACACGUAGGUAACCUACCUAUAAGACUGGGAUAACUUCGGGAAACCGGAGCUAAUACCGGAUAAUAUUUCGAACCGCAUGGUUCGAUAGUGAAAGAUGGCUUUGCUAUCACUUAUAGAUGGACCUGCGCCGUAUUAGCUAGUUGGUAAGGUAACGGCUUACCAAGGCAACGAUACGUAGCCGACCUGAGAGGGUGAUCGGCCACACUGGAACUGAGACACGGUCCAGACUCCUACGGGAGGCAGCAGUAGGGAAUCUUCCGCAAUGGGCGAAAGCCUGACGGAGCAACGCCGCGUGAGUGAUGAAGGUCUUCGGAUCGUAAAACUCUGUUAUUAGGGAAGAACAAACGUGUAAGUAACUGUGCACGUCUUGACGGUACCUAAUCAGAAAGCCACGGCUAACUACGUGCCAGCAGCCGCGGUAAUACGUAGGUGGCAAGCGUUAUCCGGAAUUAUUGGGCGUAAAGCGCGCGUAGGCGGUUUUUUAAGUCUGAUGUGAAAGCCCACGGCUCAACCGUGGAGGGUCAUUGGAAACUGGAAAACUUGAGUGCAGAAGAGGAAAGUGGAAUUCCAUGUGUAGCGGUGAAAUGCGCAGAGAUAUGGAGGAACACCAGUGGCGAAGGCGACUUUCUGGUCUGUAACUGACGCUGAUGUGCGAAAGCGUGGGGAUCAAACAGGAUUAGAUACCCUGGUAGUCCACGCCGUAAACGAUGAGUGCUAAGUGUUAGGGGGUUUCCGCCCCUUAGUGCUGCAGCUAACGCAUUAAGCACUCCGCCUGGGGAGUACGACCGCAAGGUUGAAACUCAAAGGAAUUGACGGGGACCCGCACAAGCGGUGGAGCAUGUGGGUUAAUUCGAAGCAACGCGAAGAACCUUACCAAAUCUUGACAUCCUUUGA